This 305-nucleotide ribosomal RNA is filed under the name uncultured bacterium. RNAcentral's name for it is "bacterial SSU rRNA". It matches the Rfam family "Bacterial small subunit ribosomal RNA", at positions 335 to 633 of the family's 1533-position model. The record is from RNAcentral.
UCUCUACGGGGGGCAGCAGUUAGGAAUAUUCGUCAAUGGGGGAAACCCUGAACGAGCAAUGCCGCGUGAGUGAUGAAGGUCCUUUGGAUUGUAAAACUCUGUUGUAUGGGAAGAACGACCAGACUAGGAAAUGAGUUUGGAGUGACGGUACCAUGCCAGAAAGCUCCGGCUAACUACGUGCCAGCAGCCGCGGUAAUACGUAGGGAGCGAGCGUUAUCCGGAUUUAUUGGGCGUAGAGGGUGCGUAGGCGGCUUGUUAAGUAUGAAAUUAAAGCCCGGGGCUUAACUCCGGUUCGUUUCAUAAAC